Molecule: long non-coding RNA, 381 nt
Organism: Anser brachyrhynchus (Pink-footed goose)
Lineage: Eukaryota; Metazoa; Chordata; Aves; Anseriformes; Anatidae
Source: Ensembl
CUGGGGCCGGGGUGGGGACUCGCCUGAUCCCGCCCGCUGCCACCUCCCUUCCCCUCCCACCGCCCGCUGCGCGGAGCCCGGCAGAGCCCGGCGGGGCAGGCGGCGGAGCCGGGCAGCUCCAGGAAUUGGAAAAAAUCGGAAAGAGCCCCCAGCGAAGCUGAUGUUGGACACAGUGCCUGCCUCUGUGCUGGGACAGCUGCCAGACACCGCUGCCACCGCUCCUGGGCUGCGCUCUGCGAGCAUCCCUCCUUCGUGCCAGCUGGGCAUGCUGAGCCCCGCUUACUCCCAGCUUUCUUUACUCUAGAUGGAAUCAGGUCAUUUUCAGUGUUACAGAUAGAGCCUGAGACCUUGAACUUCAUGCACUGCUCUGCAAGGAGCUAA